This 253-nucleotide ribosomal RNA is filed under the name uncultured bacterium. Its description in RNAcentral is "partial 16S ribosomal RNA". It matches the Rfam family "Bacterial small subunit ribosomal RNA", at positions 524 to 776 of the family's 1533-position model. The record is from RNAcentral.
GACGAACCGUGCAAACGUUGUUCGGAAUCACUGGGCUUAAAGGGCGCGUAGGCGGGCAAGCAAGUCGAAGGUGAAAUCCCACGGCUCAACCGUGGAAGUGCCCCCGAUACUGCUUGUCUUGAGGGAGAUAGGGGCGUGCGGAACUUCCGGUGGAGCGGUGAAAUGCGUAGAUAUCGGAAGGAACACCUGUGGCGAAAGCGGCGCACUGGACCAUAACUGACGCUGAUGCGCGAAAGCUAGGGGAGCAAACAGG